CGUCCUCGAGGAUGUCAUCGCGGAGCGGGUUCCCGGAGAUCUGUCCGCGAGUCGUUUCCCAGGAACCGAGGACCAUGAUGUAACCGAAGAGGAAGAUGACUCUCUCCCAGGACAGCGCGACCACCAUCGUCUGCAGGGAGGUUUUCGACGAGGCCUCGCACCCCUCGAACGAAGAGGUUCUGGAUUAUGCGAAGCGGCUGGGAAUCGAUCCCGAUGCGGAACCGCACCUCUUGGACCUGGCGCGGGAAGGCCUCAUGGCUGCCCUGCCGAAGGGGUGGCUACCCUGCUACCACGAGGCCACGGGGUCGUGGUAUUAUUACCAGGCCUCCACGGGUACCACCACCUGGGAACAUCCCCUGGAUGCGGUCUACAAGGAAAUGGUGGAACAAGCCAGGAGUGGUAACCGACAGAUGAGCGUCGAGGAUGAUUCCAAGACGACGGCCAAAGAUCUGGAGUCCCACGAGGAGGCGACUUUGCCGAAGGAGACGCCUCUGAAGGAAAUCCCGAAGCCGGCCUUUCCUCAGUCGAAGAUCCCCUCUAAGUUGGCACCCUUGAAGAAGAGCAAGCUGGGCGCUAUCAGCAAAAGGGACUCGUCCUUGGAGAAGCUGCAGACCAAGAGAGACGACUCGAAGACGGAGAAUCCGAGCAGUCUGGCGAACGACAGAGCUUCCAGGGAUUAUACGAACCUCAGGUUCCAGGACCCGCGAUUUUACGAGCGUCCGAAACUGCUGGACGAGGCGGAGAAGAAGGAGCUGGACCUGAAGGAGGUCCUGAAGAGGUCGGAGUCGAUGAGCCCCAGGUACGAGAAGGACUGGGAGCAACUGUCCAGUAGGUUCAGCUCCGAGGAGAACAUCAUCGACAUCGACAAGCUCAGCAUCAGCUCCCUGACGAAAUCGGACAAGCCUCUGGAGAAGCUGACGGAAAAGUUCGACAAGGAGAAGCACCCCAAACAAUUGGGCCAGCAGAGAGAGCUGACCCUGAGCGGGGGUGGGUCCAUGUUCCUGAAGAGCAACAGAAGCAGAGAUACCACGCCUAGUCACGAAGUCUGCAGAAUGGAGGACUUUCAGACCUCGAUCAGAAACGAAGGUGCCGGAAGCAUGGCCGGAGAGAAGCCGAAGUCGAUCCUCCGGGAGAAGGCGUCCGAAGAUGACGACAGACCUGCGGACGAGGAGCGAAAAAUCGUGCGGUUCGACCUGGACAAGGAGGUCUUCAUCAAGUUCACGUAUUCCGGAUCCGAGGAGGAGUGGGACUCCGGGUCGGAGGACCACAUCCCGACCGCGACGGUUCCAGGAUCGUCCUUGAUCCCCGGGAAAGAGGACCUCGUCAUGGGGUCCUCGACGGAGAACAAAGAGGAGGACUCCGCCAGCAAGGAGUCGGAUAAGAAGGUGCAGGAGACCCUCCUGGACAGACUGGACACGUUCCUGAAGAGGCCGAAGGUUGUGGGCAAGCGAUUCCUCGUGGAGAACGUCUCGGAGAACGAACACCUCAGCCAAAUGUCUCGAGACCGAUCCGAAGAGCUGGACAGCGACUACGUCCCGAGUAAAUUCGAGAACAUAAAGAACAUCGACCUGAUGUCGAAGAGCGACACCGAUAGCGGGCCCAAGAGCAGCGAGUCCAAGUCCAGCAUGCUGGAGGAGAUCCGGAAGAGCAAGGAGAUCAUGCUGGAGACCAUGAAGAAGUCCGACCAGAAGAUGAGGCAGGAGAUGCAGCGAGAGAAGGAGGAGACCUACCACUUGAUGAAGAUCAAAUACGACUUGGAAUCCGCGAGGCAGGAUCGAAUGCAGCCGGUAAAGGACCUCGAAGAGGCGAAACUCGAACUGAGCAAGAAAUACGAACGAAACCUGGAGUCGAUGAAGAAAGACCUCGAAGAGAGGCUGGAGGAGACCAGGAAGGAGCUGGAGGAGAAUUUCCAUAAAGAAAAGAGGUCCCUAGUAGAGGAGUCGCUAACUAGGCUCAGGGAGCUGAAGACUGAGAUGAAGGACAGGGAGGAACAGGAGAUCCAUUGCUUAAUUUCUGAGAUGGACCGAGAGCGCCUGGAGAACCUGAAGAAAGUCAGGGGGGAACUGGAAUUAUGCUACGAGAAAGAGAAGCAGGAGAUCCUGGCGAACCUGAAGAGCGAACUCGAGGAGAAGAGGAAGGCACUGCUAGACCUUCGAAAUCAGGAAAUCGAGAAACUGGAAAAAGAACACGAGCGCCAUUUAAGCGAGGAUAAACUGGCAAAACUGAACGAGUACGAGCUCAACGAAAGACACAGUGAACAGAUCGAGACCCUGAAGAAGGAACUCGAGAAGGAGCUCGACGAGUUGCGGACCGAGCUGAGGACCCAGCAGAGGGAGAAGAUCUCCAAAAUGACCGAAGACCAUGAAAAGUGCCUAGCAGAGAUUCUUCGGGACUUCAGAAUGGAUGAGAGCUUGGCUCGCAAAGUUUACAAGCAACGACUAGAAGAGAUCAGAGCAGACUUUUCGCUGGACAUCGACAGAGAGACGAAGAAGCAGAACGAAAGGGUGGCGCGGCAAGAAAGCAUCGAUUUCGAGAAAAUCCGUUGCGAGAAGCGGCUACUGGAGGACAAGUACAAAUCAUUGAAGGAGAAGUACCUGAAGCUGAAGAACAACAUGAGAUUGGCUGUCGAGAGGAGGAGCAAACGAAGGGAGGGCAACACUACGGCGUCGGAAACCGAGAAAUCCACAUCGGCAAGGACAAGGACGGAGAUAACCGACUCAUCGGAACAGAAACUGCUGAAGAAGGCGCACUCCACCCUGAAUCCGAGCCAGAAGAGCAAGGAGCAGGAAGUCGAGGACCAAAGCGGUGCCGAGGAUUCGGAGGGCCAAAGGACGACCACGGGGUUUCCAAAGCCCGGCAGGAGCGGCGCGGGAAAAUUCGAAUCGGACGACACCACGACGGCCAGCGAGACCAACUCGAACCUGAAGAAGCGGAAGAGCUUCUCGAAGAAGGCCGCCAGCACGACGAGGCUGAACAACAACGUCGAGAACCCGGUGGAGAACAUCAGGAAGCAGCUGGAGAAGCUGGAGGACCUCGGGGACCAGUUGCCGAGUAACGAGACCGCUUACACCUUGCGAUAUCCUUUCCAGGACAAAGGUGAACCCCGAAAGGAUCCCCCUAUGCACCGAGAACUGCAUUCCGGCCGCCGAUUUCUGUGCACCUCGACCGAGAGACUUGAUUUUCCUCACUACUUCGCCACUUGUCUAGACCUUGCAUUACGCUCUAUUUUCUUUCUUUUCUAGGAUACUAUAGACUUUACUUUGGUUAAUGACUUGCCACUUUCGUCCACCCUUCCACCCGCUAAUGCUUCCUCGGAACUGGAGUUCUUCCGGCAUCGCAUCCACGUGGAGAGAGAUUCCAUGAGGAGAGCUCGCGAGGCUUUGCGG
Molecule: unclassified non-coding RNA, 3386 nt
Filed under: Orussus abietinus
Lineage: Eukaryota; Metazoa; Arthropoda; Insecta; Hymenoptera; Orussidae
Description: centrosomal protein of 164 kDa, transcript variant X2
Source: RNAcentral